RNAcentral lists this ribosomal RNA (786 nucleotides) under Lactococcus taiwanensis. RNAcentral's name for it is "bacterial SSU rRNA". It matches the Rfam family "Bacterial small subunit ribosomal RNA", at positions 52 to 821 of the family's 1533-position model. Lineage: Bacteria; Bacillati; Bacillota; Bacilli; Lactobacillales; Streptococcaceae. The record is from RNAcentral.
UAUAAUGCAGUUGAGCGCUGAAGAUUGGUACUUGUACCGAUUGGAUGAGCAGCGAACGGGUGAGUAACGCGUGGGGAAUCUGCCUUUGAGCGGGGGACAACAUUUGGAAACGAAUGCUAAUACCGCAUAAUAGCUUUAAACAUAAGUUUUAAGUUUGAAAGAUGCAAUUGCAUCACUCAAAGAUGAUCCCGCGUUGUAUUAGCUAGUUGGUGAGGUAAAGGCUCACCAAGGCGAUGAUACAUAGCCGACCUGAGAGGGUGAUCGGCCACAUUGGGACUGAGACACGGCCCAAACUCCUACGGGAGGCAGCAGUAGGGAAUCUUCGGCAAUGGACGAAAGUCUGACCGAGCAACGCCGCGUGAGUGAAGAAGGUUUUCGGAUCGUAAAACUCUGUUGUUAGAGAAGAACGACGAGGAGAGUGGAAAGCUCCUCGUGUGACGGUAUCUAACCAGAAAGGGACGGCUAACUACGUGCCAGCAGCCGCGGUAAUACGUAGGUCCCGAGCGUUGUCCGGAUUUAUUGGGCGUAAAGCGAGCGCAGGUGGUUUAUUAAGUCUGGUGUAAAAGGCAGUGGCUCAACCAUUGUAUGCAUUGGAAACUGGUAGACUUGAGUGCAGGAGAGGAGAGUGGAAUUCCAUGUGUAGCGGUGAAAUGCGUAGAUAUAUGGAGGAACACCGGUGGCGAAAGCGGCUCUCUGGCCUGUAACUGACACUGAGGCUCGAAAGCGUGGGGAGCAAACAGGAUUAGAUACCCUGGUAGUCCACGCCGUAAACGAUGAGUGCUAGAU